GGACCCAUAGCUCAGCUGGUUAGAGCACGGGCCUCUUAAGCCUGGUGUCGAGGGUUCAAGUCCCUCUGGGUCCUCCA
RNAcentral lists this transfer RNA (77 nucleotides) under Candidatus Nomurabacteria bacterium. Its description in RNAcentral is "tRNA-Lys". It matches the Rfam family "tRNA". Rfam says of the family: Transfer RNA (tRNA) molecules are approximately 80 nucleotides in length. Their secondary structure includes four short double-helical elements and three loops (D, anti-codon, and T loops). Lineage: Bacteria; Candidatus Nomuraibacteriota. The record is from RNAcentral.